GUCUUCUAGCGAAGCAACUUCCAUGCGUGCUUACCUCUUCAUUUACGUAGCAAGGCUUAAUUUAGUGUUGCUCGUAUUGUGGGUUUACUGUGUUGCGUACCUAAUCGAAGGCAUUGUAUGGACCGAAUGAAUAUGUAUCCGUCAUGCAUCGCACAAGUGGUGCAUGAUGGACCGGUAAGUGGUCUUAGUAAUCCAUCUUGUCGUUGUGUACACAUCGGCGAUGUGGCUUGCUGAGUUUCGCUUGGUGUCUUGGAUAUGGAACCUAAUGUGGGCAUGGGUCUUAAAUGAUCUUUUUAUGUCCUUGUUUAGCGUUCUCGCUUCUCUAAAACGAUCACUCGUCGCGUGUUGGCUAGUCCAUGCGUGGCGGGUUGCGUCGAAGAGGAAUGCUACC
RNAcentral lists this unclassified non-coding RNA (391 nucleotides) under Gazania linearis subsp. linearis. RNAcentral describes it as "partial external transcribed spacer". Lineage: Eukaryota; Viridiplantae; Streptophyta; Magnoliopsida; Asterales; Asteraceae. The record is from RNAcentral.